RNAcentral lists this long non-coding RNA (194 nucleotides) under Chinchilla lanigera (long-tailed chinchilla). RNAcentral's name for it is "lncRNA (ENSCLAG00000023368.1)". Lineage: Eukaryota; Metazoa; Chordata; Mammalia; Rodentia; Chinchillidae. The record is from RNAcentral.
UCUAGAACACUGAAUCCUUCAUCCCCAACCAUGAAUACUGAACAGUUCUGUUUUCUCUCCACAGAUUGGCAAUUGCAAGAAUCCUAAAUGAAAGAGAAUCCAGAGUGAAGUGGUACUAUUCUGCCGACGUGAAUUGUGUGGAGCUGUCCCUGCCUUCACUUCUGGUACCUCCCAUUCCUUCAGGCAGUGAUCAG